UACGGAAGGCAGCAGUGGGGAAUAUUGGACAAUGGGCGCAAGCCUGAUCCAGCCAUGCCGCGUGUGUGAAGAAGGCCUUUUGGUUGUAAAGCACUUUAAGCGAGGAGGAGGCUCUCUUAGUUAAUACCUAAGAUGAGUGGACGUUACUCGCAGAAUAAGCACCGGCUAACUCUGUGCCAGCAGCCGCGGUAAUACAGAGGGUGCGAGCGUUAAUCGGAUUUUACUGGGCGUAAAGCGUGCGUAGGCGGCUUUUUUAAGUCGGAUGUGAAAUCCCCGAGCUUAACUUGGGAAUUGCAUUCGAUACUGGGAAGCUAGAGUAUGGGAGAGGAUGGUAAGAUUCCAGGUGUAGCGGUGAAAUGCGUAGAGAUCUGGAGGAAUACCGAUGGGCGAAGGCAGCCAUCUGGCCUAAUCUGACGCUGAGGUACGAAAGCAUGGGAGCAAACGAGGUAUUAGAC
Molecule: ribosomal RNA, 455 nt
Filed under: uncultured bacterium
Lineage: Bacteria
Description: bacterial SSU rRNA
Rfam family: Bacterial small subunit ribosomal RNA
Source: RNAcentral